UGAAGGAUCAGAGGAAGAUGCCUCAUGGCCUUGAAAGGUUCUUCAAGAACGAACCCAGAGAUGCCAUUGCUAUCUAUCUUCAGGAUCGUCUGGAUGAAGGCAUUGAUAUCUCUGAUUUUCGCCUAGAAGACUGUCUGGACUCUGUAGAAGAUCUGGUCAGAUACAAAAGAGGCCUUUCUGAGAAGAAGAUAGCUGAGAAGCAAGGAAGGCAAAGAAAGCCAGAAUUGGAGAAACCUCUGGCACCAAAGCUUCAGCACCUCUGAAUGUCUCCUCUGGUAAGUCCAUUCCUCCUGUCUCUUCUGAAUCUGUAAUGGCUUCCUCUAAC
This 325-nucleotide long non-coding RNA is filed under the name Lathyrus oleraceus (garden pea). RNAcentral's name for it is "Pisum sativum (pea) long non-coding RNA (PSAT_LNC007612)". Lineage: Eukaryota; Viridiplantae; Streptophyta; Magnoliopsida; Fabales; Fabaceae. The record is from RNAcentral.